Molecule: RNA transcript, 4820 nt
Organism: Helicoverpa zea (corn earworm)
Lineage: Eukaryota; Metazoa; Arthropoda; Insecta; Lepidoptera; Noctuidae
Gene name: phospholipid transfer protein C2CD2L
Exons: 22
Source: RefSeq, a predicted model, not a curated record
UAAGUUUUAAAAUGACUCAGUCUCCGCUCGAUAUCGGCCGUGCACAGUCAUGUUACCAGUUAUUCAGUGUUUGUUUACAUAAUACUAAAUAUAUCGAUGAUCUGUGUCAGUUUACGAAAUAACAAAAGAUUCGCAAAAACAUGCAAAUAAAUCGGAGACAUUGAAACCACGAAAAACACGAACGAACGAAAUGUGUUCCCACUAACUCUUAACCUGAACGCAUCCAAAAUAGAAAGAGAAAGAAACAGCGCAAUAGAGCUGCGUCCCAAAAUAGUGCGUUCGAAAAUAGAAAAAAAAUGCCUAGCUCCCAAUCAGUUACCGAAAAGAGCGCGGCGGGUGCGGACGCCGCACUGUGGUGGCAAACACCAUGGAAAGCUAUGGCCGACCUAGCCGAAGCAGUUGACGACCUCAUAUGUAGCUUCGAUUACAUGGACACAGCCAUGGACAACCUAGUCAUGCUGAUCUUCAUAUGGAUUCUGUUCUCCAUCGUGCUCCUCGGCAUAGCGAAAUGGGCGUACGCCCGCUUCGCCAAUAAGGCUGUCGAGGUCGACACAAAACAAAAGCCAACGACAGAUGAGACGAAAAAAACAACGAACGAAAUAAUAAACAGUGCUGAUAGUGUAUUAGCUACUAGUGCUAAAGUUAAAAGUGCCUCGUUUAAGCCUGCUAAGCCGACUGGGUUCGUCCCGGCAACCCCGCCGAACAAGCGGCGCUUGGGCCGCAUGUCCCCAGGCCCCGAACAGCUGACGUUAAAAAAGCAUCAAAGCGUGCUAGUACCAACAUGUACGGGACCCGACCCGCCGAGUGUGCAAUGGGUGAACGACCUAUUGACGUGGUUAUAUAAUGAUCUAGUUAUUGUGAAUGAACUAGUACAGCAAUGGAUUGUGUCCAUGAACGAGUUCUCCAAGAAGUCCGUGGAGGAGCAAGGUAUCGGCGUGGAGCUGGUGCGAGCUCUGGACAGUCAUCCGCCCAACAUCUCCAACGUGUUCUGCGAGUGUGACUCCAAGGAUGAUGUCACGAUCACAUGUGACUGUGAAGCCACCCCCGCCUUCCAGCUGAAGGCAUUCAGCCAGCGAGGGGAAAAGGUAGAAGUCUCACACUACAGAGUCAAUGUUAAUAGGUUCCGCGCCCGUUUGAACGUGGUGUGCGUGACGGACAAGUUGACGGGCGAGCUGAAAUGCGACGGCUGGCCCGAAGUAAAGGUGGCACUGGCGCCAGUGGGUGCGCUGCGGCCUAAUGCUACCGAGAGUAAUAUGCAACAGCUUAUCAGUGACAUAGUAGUGAACGCGCUACGCAGCACGAACCUGCAGUUCAGCUUAGCGCAGUACCCGACGUGCCCGCGUCUGCGCCGGUACGUCGAGACGCCCGGGCCCCGGCUGCCGCUGCACUAUGAUUCUAUGCUACAACAAGACAGACAAAUGUACACAUCUACCCCCAACUCGACGGCCGGCAGCGUCACCCUGCUCGGAGACAAGAGGCUGCUCGUCAAGCUGGUCUGCGCCAAGGACUUGGGAGGUAAAACCGGUUGCAUAGCUCCUUACUGCGUGGUGGAGAUGGAUGAGCCUCCGCAGAAGAAUCAGACGGCUUUCAAGAAGGAUACCAACAACCCACAGUGGGAGGAACACUUCUUAUUUGACCUGUCCCCGCAGACGGCAGAGCUUCUGUUCGAGGUGUAUGAUCGCACCGGUCCUCCGUCUCCCGGGGGAGGACCCUCGCAGAACAGGUUCCUAGGCCUGGGUCUGGUGGGAAUAGACGAGCUGCUGGCGGCACCGUCACAGCGCCAACAGAUCGCGCUGCAGACGCGGCCCAUGGAGGAACAUGACGUCAGUGGCACACUCACUGUCGAGUUCCUCUUCAUCGAGGGUGCCGACAUCCCGGACCUGGGCUCCCGGCCCGUCAAGAUCAAGGAGAGUCUGCGGACACUGUCGCCACAUGGACACCUCACCACUACCACUAAGACUAUCUUCAAGCAAAAUGGCCAUGACAACUCCCAGUUGACGGAGUCAGCUCUCCGAGAGCUGGAACUGAGCCCCACCAGCGCCGCCAACAAAUCCACGCUCAUCAUACACUCUGUGCAGAGGGAACCGAAGAAAUCCAUUAAGGUGGAAAUAACCGAUUCGGGGAAAUUCAUCGAAGUGGAGAGAGCGGAAGCGGAUACCGAAGUACCUCAAGAGAGUGGUAAAAUAGAUGAGAGUGAGACAGAGUCGGAGUUGCCAGUUUCCCCCAGUCCUAACGCGUCGCCUGGCAAGACUGUCAGGAUCAAGGAGAAUGGUGCUAAAGCAAAUGGUGAUACCGAGCAGGGUGACUACGUGCAGCAUCAGAACGAGAGCUCGCCGCCCGAGCCUGCGCCCCGCAAACGGAGGCGGGACUUCUUCGGUACUAUUAAGAGAAGACUGGGCCGGUCCCGCACUCGCGGUGCCUCUCUGGACCUGACAGACUCGGAGGUGGAGAACCAGAGCCGCAUCCGCAGCAUCAGCGCAGAGAGGAACGCCCAUGAGAAAGCGCUAUCGAUCCCCAACAGGAACGUGUACUCCGCCGGCGCGUCGCCCGCGCAGUCCGGGGACGAGUCACGCACCUCCAGGAGGUCAUCUCUUAGCGAAGUGUCCGGAUUCAGCACAGCAUCAGCUAGGACGUUCAUCCACGAGGCUUCGACCCUGGUGCUGGAGACCAUAGAAGCUGGUAUCAAGAAGCACUACUUGGUGCCGCUGACCAUCGCCCAGAGAUCAAGAUGGCGGCGGAAGGGCAUUAAGCUUCAUAUCUAUAAUGAGCAUACUUUUAUUGCUAAACAUCUUAGUGGUGGCACAGUUUGCGAAGUGUGUACUAAGACUAUAGCGCGGCGGCUCGGCAAGCAAGGCUACGAGUGUCGCGACUGUACGCUCAAGUGCCACAAGCAUUGCCACGUCAAAGUGGCAACCAAUUGCCCCCGGUCCACCGUGCACAAUAUGGAGCUAUCCAUGCUCCCUGUGUUAAGUGAAUAGUCAAGCUAAGCGAGAAGACUGCAAGAAAAAAUUAUAAAAAAAUACAAAAAAAAAUUUAAACAAGCAAUUUUCACUCAGGUUCUUUAAAACUAUUGAAAAGAGGUGUUACAUUGGCUGAAGUGCGCAGAUAAGGAUUUUAUAUACAAAAAGGACUUACAUCGCAUCUCCGUACACAGACAAAAAUAUAAGGAUGUUGUGAUAGUUCAUAAAGAAGCUUGCGAUAUGCACAAAGCAUCGUUUUUAAAAAUCUACUUAAAUUAUUAAAAAAAAACUAAGUACAACACUAUGUACCCAGCUGACAUAUACAAUAUAUAGGCUUUUUUACAUAUGUUUAUAUGAAAAAAUGAAGUUUAAAAAUUAGAUUUUAAGUAAAUCGUAGGAUUUCUAAGCGUCGCUGACUAUUUAAAAUCUUUAAAAAUGUUACCCGCUUGUCUAUGUAGGAAAAUGUUUUAUUCAGAUGUAAUGGAAUUAAGACACAAUAUACUGCUCUGUUGAAUAUAAACGUGGAUUAAGAUUUAAUGAUAGCUUAUACAAAAAGUUGGCCGACUGUUUGGCAAGUGUUGCGCCGCUUCCGUCUGAGUAAAUCAGGUUCCCUUGGCGUAAAUUGUUAGACUUAGUUUAGGUAUCGCUAGAGCCCACCAUCAAAGCCAAUUUCGAAGCAAAAUAUUAGAUUUCAUUACCACAUAAUAAUAAUUAUAAAUGUCAGCCAAAAAUUAAGAAUUUCACACAAAAUUUUCUACCUCAUUUCUUCAAAGUUACGACAAUAUUAAAAAAAGAAUUAUAGUUACCAUUACAUAUUAUCUUUUUGUUUAUUUUGUUGUUGAAAACACUGAAUGUUUUUUUUAUUAAAAAUGAAAUUGUAUAACUCGAAAUAUUUAUUUUUUAGUUUUAAUAAAUGUGCUUUUUCGCACAAAAUGUGAUCUGUAAUCGUCGAAUGUGCAAUAAGUCUAAUAUUUAAUAAUAAACACGCGCUUUGAGCUUUCAAAUUUAUACCUUACUAUCUUAGAAAAUAAAUAAUUGGCCAUAAAUUGACAGUGACCACCUAGUAGUUUUUGAAAUUAUAACUGGAGAACAUACCCUAUAUUGAACAUAUUCAAUAAUGUAACUGCUCAGUUUAGUCGAUUAUAACAUCCAUUUUAUUCGACUAAUCAUAAUCGAAUCAGAAUCGAUUAUUCCCUAACUUUAAGCCAAGACAUGCCUACAUUUUCAAAUUAAAGCUACACUCAGUAGUUCAAGCGCAAUAAAGCGACGUGGACCAUUCAGGAAUACGAAAAUCUCAAUCUCCAGUAAUAAUUUAGAUUAAAUCGUAUGUAAGAACGCGUAUUGUUGAUUUUUUGUUCAUUAGAGUGACUGAAUUGUAAAGGUAUUGCUACAAAUAUUUUGUGCCUUAGUUUCCCUCCUUAAAACAUAAAUUAGGUAUAGGAUCAGAAGUAUGGUACUAAUUACUUACUGCACAUAUUACAAUGCUAGAGAUGUUUAGUCGAUUUUAUUGCCAGAGUGUGCCUAAAUACAUGAUUUAAUAAUCGACUAAUUUUUUUACCGUUUUACAAGUUGUAAGUUAUAUCGAAAUAUACAUUUUUAAUAUUAUAAUCCUAGUCGAUUAGUGUUCUCCGGAGCCAAGUACAUAAUAUUUGUAGCACAUUUUUUUAAGUUAAAAUUAAUGUUCAUAUUAAUUAAUACAUGACAAACCAUAAGUGUAUCUUUGUAUACUAAGAUUGUUAACGCAUAAUGUUUUAUGUGGAUCCAUAUAAAAUAUACUAUUAUUAUUAUUUAUAAAUGUUGCGCUAUGUGUUCUAUGUAAUUUUAUUUUUCCUCUUUUUUUAAUAAAAUGCCUUUUUUCAA